This 468-nucleotide ribosomal RNA is filed under the name uncultured bacterium. RNAcentral's name for it is "partial 16S ribosomal RNA". It matches the Rfam family "Bacterial small subunit ribosomal RNA", at positions 28 to 507 of the family's 1533-position model. The record is from RNAcentral.
GACGAACGCUGGCGGCGUGCUUAACACAUGCAAGUCGAACGGAAAGGCCCUGCUUUUGUGGGGUGCUCGAGUGGCGAACGGGUGAGUAACACGUGAGUAACCUGCCCUUGACUUUGGGAUAACUUCAGGAAACUGGGGCUAAUACCGGAUAGGAGCUCCUGCUGCAUGGUGGGGGUUGGAAAGUUUCGGCGGUUGGGGAUGGACUCGCGGCUUAUCAGCUUGUUGGUGGGGUAGUGGCUUACCAAGGCUUUGACGGGUAGCCGGCCUGAGAGGGUGACCGGCCACAUUGGGACUGAGGUACGGCCCAGACUCCUACGGGAGGCAGCAGGGGGGAAUAUUGCAAAAUGGGCGGAAGCCUGAUGCAGCAACGCCGCGGGCGGGAUGACGGCCUUCGGGUUGUAAACCGCUUUCGCCUGUGACGAAGCGUGAGUGACGGUAAUGGGUAAAGAAGCACCGGCUAACUACGUG